AGCUUGCAGGGCUGGCUCGCCGGCUAAAUGCGAUGGUGAAAUGGCGGAGACGGAGAUGUAGAGACCCGGGUUGAGGGGUUCGGCUGCCGGCCAGAGAGGCGGGAAAGGCGCAAGCGAAUGCAUUUUUAUAUUUGUACACAGACGUGUGCGAUUGGAUUCCUUUGGAUCGUUUUAGAGGAUCUGCUGCCUCCCUUCCUGUGCUGAUGAGAGUCAGCCUGCCCCUGUUGUCUGGCCAGCGGUAGGUCAUCUGUCUGGGAGAGAAAGCAGGAGGAACAGGCAAGGUCCUGCUGGUUCUGCCAAUGGAUGAGGACUGUUGGGCAGAACCUGGACAGAUGACGUCUCCAGACGCUCCGCUGACCGGCCUGCAGCCCUACAGCCUUUUAGGACAGCGGCAGAUCCUGAAUUUUGCAGAAGUUGGGCGGCCUGUCCUAAGUCCUAAGGCAUGACCUCUGGAGCCUCAGGUCUUGGGGAAAUGAGAAGGGAGCUUCCAGAGCUCAUCCCCAAGGAACAAGGGCUUAGCCUGGGAGGGUGGGCUGGUUCCUUGGGACCUCGGUACCCCGACGAAGAGACCUGGAAGUGUCUCUGAUUACAAGAUUGAGGGCCAUGGUCUCCCCUUUCCUCCUGUGCUCACCAUCCUUCACCCCACUCACCUCCAGACGUGGAUUAGCAAUGUAAGGUUUAGUUAGCUCUGAUCACUAGUCCACAUUGUAUGGCUCUGGUGAUCUUACAUUGUCUUUCAGGAUGCCCAUUUCAGAAGUGCUGUUGUUGUGCUGGAAGAAUGUUGGGUGGGUUCUUUUUAGAUUCAGUCCUGCAAUGUAGCACCAUCUGUACUCAUACAACAGUAGGGGAUUAGGAAUCGGGAAACGUCUGAUUUAUAAGGUAAAUGGUGGUGCAUCCAUACCAGAUACCCAGUUUACUUUAGUUUACCUCUAGAAGCUGUAUGCUAACAUUGGUUCUUAGUUUCCCAGUUUUCUGUUUCUUCUCAGUUCAGGACCAGCUAUGUUCUUGUGGAAAGCAGAGUGUAAGAGUUUGCCACUACCUCACUGGGGCUACCAGGCUGUUAGCCUAAAAUAAAAUAAAUAAUGCCAGGAUGCAUCUAUUCUUUAGUUACAGUAGCAGCUUUGGCAGGAUUUUGCAAGAGAGACUAAUGUAAUUUCUCCAUAGAGCAGUCCCAAAGACCAUCGUAAAAUCUGAUGUGGGAAGAACAAAGCAACGUGCACAAUUGUGUGCUGUUUUAGGCCCAUGGGUGGCUUUUUCUAUUUGUAAUUACCUUAUACUGUAGUGCUAAAACCUAGCUGUAUUUCAUAUUUGACCAUUUAAACAGGAUUUUUUUUAUUGCAAAAGUUUUUGUGCUGAAAAAAGUUGGGAGGGACGUUACUAUGGAUGCAUUGUGAAGGAGUGUUUGAAAUGUCUGUGCUGUGCCCUUCCUGAACAUCCUGAGGAACAUCCCCAUUCCUGCCUGCUCCAGUCUGAUAGUAAACCUGGUGAUCCUGUUGCCUCUGAGCCCAGGCUGAAUCGUGAGGCCCAGGCGUAGUGAGCUGGAGUCAGGCAGGUGGCACUAGCUGACCGUGACUGGGAGUUUCCUAGCAAUGGUGCACAGUAGGCUGAACACAUGCCCGGGGCUGGGGUAGAAUUGGUGCAGCAGGCUUGCCACGUGACAAGGAGUAAACAGACAUUAGGGAAUAUUACCAGUUUUGCCUCCAAAUUCAGAGGGAAACCUUUCUGUGUACUUGCACACAAGUAUUAUGUUUGAGGAUUGGGGAAAUUUGUAAAAGUACCUCAAUUAGUUCCUUAGGCGACAGAUCCGCAAGGGUAGUUGCGUAUUGUUAUUCUGACUGUGGUGCUGAACCACCAUAAAGCAGGGCAAGUAUAGGUUGUGGGAUCUUCAAAUUGUUCACUGCCUUCCUGAAUUUGCUAAUAAAAGUUAGUACCCUCUGGCUAUGCGAUACAAAGGUGUAAAAAAACUACCUAGGUCUUCUUUCUUCUUGGUGAGGGGGACAAGAAUUAUUUUGGUUCCCUAGCAGAAACUUUGACUUAAUUGGAUUUCUUCUUUUUUAGAUUUUCAUUUUAUUUGAAUACACAAACUAGAGUGAAGGAAAAGAAAUGAGGAAAGCCAAAGACUGUCACGGUUGGCACUGCCACCACUCUUCUCCCAGCAGCCCUGUUUGUGUCGAGACAUCUGUGGUUCCCUGAUUUAAGCUGUGAUCUCCUGCUCUCAGGCGCGUGUGCACACACAACCCAGUGGCUAACAAAGCCCGCAGAAGUAGGCAUACAGUCCAGCCCUCCCUCACCUUCCCCUGACAUAUCCCCUAAAUAUAUGGGCAUGUGCAAUAAUGUUUUUUUUUUGUUAUAAAUAUAUAUAAUUGUGAAACAAGUGACAAGUUGUUUGAGAACAACAAAAUCACCAACGUCUUCCAUUAUAAGAUGUAUAGUUUCAUGCACAUUAGCUUAAUAGCAAAACAGUAGUGCCAUUUUAGUGGCCAUGCAUGAAGUUAGCGAUGCUUGCAAAAAUAUAUCAAUUAAAAAUUAAGCAGCUCCGCUCUGACUGAACAAGUUACUGACCAGGAUGAGGCAUCCCUUUCUUACGGCAAGCUGAGAUCAGACUUAGAGUCCGCGGCGUGUGAGUCCGAGCUGGCUUGUGCGAUUGGUUGCGACGCUGCGGUGUUCCGUCGUCUCGGAUGUGCAGCGUUCGGCUGCUCGCUCGGACAGCGGCGAAAACGACCCUGGUUUGGGGAAGGAAGUACGGAAGCCAAAGAUGUGUGAGAAUCGUCGAGGCAGAGCUGUUACUGCCAGCGGUAUUGCUCCUUCGUGAGGAAGCAGUCCGGUUCAGACUGUUGCUCUCCAGAGCCAGCGCGGUUCAAGGGUCCGGAGUGUAGCGUUCACCACUAAGGUGGCCGAGACACUUCUGGUGGGAGACUGGGGUAAACAGUCACAGUCAAAAAAGUUUAUCUGAAGCGCAGCACCCUUGAGCUGAAUUACCCCUGAAAGGGAGCUUUAGAGCCCUAAGUGUGUGGUCUGGUGAAUAGCAGAAGGCACAUGUUGUAGCUGAGAUAGAAGAGAACGGGUAACUAGCAGUAAAGACGAUGCCCAACGUUUUGCUGAAAUAAUUUUUCUUAAUUGUGCUUUUCUCUAAGUUUUUAGUCUCAGUCUGGGGUAGCGAAGGAUGCAUCAUCUGGGCUAGCAGAUUACAUUAUAUGCAAUGAACAGAUCUAGCCUUAGGUGUAUAAUACUAACACAUCAGUUUUAGUAUUAGGAAGUAGAGUAGUGCUUAGCUGAAAUAUUAUUUUUUAGUGUAAAAUAAAUACCUCAAGGUUUGGAAUUCAGAACAUCUUGUAGGAAUAUCCUGUUGUCAACAAAGCCAUAAUAUUUACUAUUAGAAUUUUAGAAGCAAUAAUCCUGUUAUGCAUGAUUUAGUACUAGAGUGGUGUUCUAGGCGUUUCUGUAGACUGGCUAGAGUAAGUUAUCAAACUAGUUGUGGUAGAAGUGCUUGUAGGCACAGAAUAAGUAUGCCUAGCUAGAGGUCUGAAUAAUCAGGUUUCUGGGAAAGUUACUUCAUUUUAUUGUUCUUUUAAAUGAGGUAAAUUUCAUACCAUAUUUAGUCAGACCUUUUACAUGCUUUGCAAAUCGAUUCAAAAUCGAUCCGUAGAUCAAAUGAAAGCAAAUGAAAUGAAAUUUGCAGAUGCAAAUGAAACUAAAUCGCAAAAUGCAAUUCUCAUUUUUAUUUUUGAUGGGUGAUAAAUGCAAAAUCAAUUAGCAGAGGCUUUAAAAGUGUCCUCUAGGUUAUGUACAGUAUUGUACUCUAUAUACAUUUCCCUUUAUUUGUAGAUGUAAUAGAGAAAAAAAAAAGAUUACUUAAAAACAGUAUGCUGUAUGUCUGAAUUGAAAUUCCUUUUUUGUGAUCUAGACAGCUUUAAAACAGUGCGGUGGAGACUGCUUUGUAUAAUGUUUUAAACAGAUGCCAAGUAAUUUAGGUUUAACUGUGUGGCUGACCAGCUUUGGACAUUAAACAACCCCUUCAAUGAGAGGCUGUGUGUCUAGGAGGUGCAAGUCAUAAGGUGACUGAUCAUCCUGGUUGGCAAAUAUAAUUGGUUCAGUAAACCAGCCAAGUAGCUGUACCAUUACCCUCAAAAGUAGGAGCCUCAAACCCACUUCUUGGAGAUACUGGUCUCUGGAAUUUGUUCCUACUGGAGUAGUUAAUUAAAUAACCUAUUUUCCAAAUUACUACAAAUUACAGUCUUCUUCAGUUGAUUACACAAGAUAUUCACUCCAGUAAAAGGUAGUUAGAUAUAAUCGGCUCAGAGUCUGGUUUGUAGUAUUACAGUUCUGUGUCUAAUUAAUAAAUAGAUCAAGUGUGUAACACAACAUGGUUGGAACAACUGUCAUAAGAUAUUAGCACUUCUGAGAAGUAAGAGAGUACUGAUAAUUAAAGAUGUUUUUGUGACAAUUCAAUUUUUCUUUUUCAUCUGACCUUGAUGUGAAGACCUGCAGUCAUUUCUGGUGUAGCACCUGUGCUAUACAGGGCUGUUUUUCACUGCAGGAUAAGCAGUAAGAUUCUCAGUACUUGCAGUUAAAAAUUGUGGUGACACCUAUGACCAUUUAAUUUUAUGGAAAAAGUUAAAUAAAGGGUUUCUUAUAUUUUUAUGCAGAUCACUUCAAGACCAUUAUAAUGGGAACUUUUGGAGAAGCUUUACCUUAAAGGAUGUAUUUGUGCUUGCUGCCACCAUAAAACAUGCAUUCAGCUAAUCUUUGAAGGGGUUUCAGAUUACCUGGGUUAAUUUUCUGAAGGGGUGUUUGGCGAGUAGUAAUUUAGGUAGCAAGGAAAACAAUCCUGUUUCUUUAUGCAUGGUUUUAUAUAUAUAUAUAAUGUAUCAGACUAGUAAAACAUAUAUGCAUCUUAAUCCAUUUGAAAGCAAUAGGAAAUAUUGUAAUAGCAAACUUUUGCUUCACUAAGGAAUCAAGUCUGACACAAAACUGUAUAUUUAUCUCUCUGCUGAUAUGAGCUCAGUAUCACACUGCACUGUGGAGUUGGGCAAGUUGCUGAAGUGUGUUGUGAUUGGUUUUGAGCUGAAGACAGAGAGCAGUUGGAAGUAGCACCUUGUGGGACUGAGGGGUAGGAUGGCAUUGCACUUCAGUCACCGGUUUUGAUGUCUUGUCUCCCAUGUCUUCAUUAUUACUAUUAAGGGGUUAAAAGAUGGGCAAGUGUUUUUUCAAUCAUCCACUAGUGUUGCACAGGGAUUCUGGUCUGUGCAUGGAAAUCGCAGUAGGGUGUGUAUAUAUAGUAAUGCAUGUAAUUAUGAGUCUAGUAGACUGUUGUGUUCAGUGUACAGGACCGAAGUGGUCAUUAUUAAUGCACUAGUCUGACAUAGAAAGAGCAUGUGUAAGUUCCUGACAUAGGAAGAGUCCACUUCACUAAGACCUUGAAUAUGAGCUAAAGACUGGCCCUGUGCAUCUGAAAGCCUAGUUCAGCAGUAAAUAUAGAUUAAGUUGUACACUAUUGCACCAAAUAACAUCUAUUCAUUUUUACCAGGGUUACUCAGUCCUUCCAGGACGGCUCAAAUGUUUUCAACCUCCCCAUCUUUGUAAGAGCAAUGCUGUUUUAACCGACAUGAGCCAGUGGGAUAAAAGGAUGUGCUGUAAGUUGAAAGAACUUAGUGGAGAGCAGACAGAAAAUAUUAAGAGGGGAGGAGGCAUUGCACAUGGCAGAACUCCCCUCCACCAAGCUUGCACAUGAGUGGGUAGUAGAGGCAAAGUAUUAACUAAUGCUGCUACCAUUGAAACCUCCACAACUGACAAAGGCAACUGACAAACCCUCUUACAAGCUGCCAUUCACAGACAUCCUUCCAGUACCAUUUAGACAGAGUACUCCCCAGAGAAGCAAAUGCACAUAACACUGAGCAGAAUGCUGUACCACGUUGCCACAAAUCUGGGUGAGUACGCCAUAUGUGAAUCGGGAACUGAUCAGCACUUGGCAUACAAAUCUGUAUUCCUAAUCCUAUUUUCACCUGCUAAAAUGAAUUAAGGAAGAUAAACUCCUUCCCUGAGCAGUUUCAACAGAAUUUCAAGAUUAGGACCCCCAUUCAGAAUGUUUGAAUGCUAUAUAUAGGAAAAUGUUUAUGCGGGGUCCUUCAUGAUGUGUAAAAUGUAGGAACUUGAUGCAAUUCCAAACUGAGUGUUACCUUGAAAUUUGUUGUCUUUUGACAGGUCUUUGAAAGGGUAGCUGUGAUUAAAUGUAACAUAUGGCAGUGUCUAAUGUACAUUUUUAAAACUGUUGCAUUUCAACAUUCCUGUACUGAAGAGGUUUGGAUUAAACUAUGCACUAUAGAAUGAAAGCAGAGAAAACUGGCUAUAACAGGCAUUUGUUGGUUUUGUAAAACUGCAAACUCUGCAUCAAAACUUCAGCAAUAAAAGCAGCAUGGUGCCAACGGCAUAAUA
Molecule: long non-coding RNA, 6432 nt
Organism: Lepisosteus oculatus (spotted gar)
Lineage: Eukaryota; Metazoa; Chordata; Actinopteri; Semionotiformes; Lepisosteidae
Source: RefSeq, a predicted model, not a curated record